UGACGAAGCUUUCCGAACGCUGCCCAGCC
Molecule: small RNA, 29 nt
Filed under: Bombyx mori (domestic silkworm)
Lineage: Eukaryota; Metazoa; Arthropoda; Insecta; Lepidoptera; Bombycidae
Description: ovarian small RNA-31690
Source: RNAcentral